AGUUUCCAAUCUAUAUCAAAUUUUUAAUAAAUUUUUAAAUGCAAAGGGAUCUGCUGCCUCAGCAGUGUUGAACAAUCAGCUUUGAAAAAUUAUAUUUUAAUACUUACUUACAUAUUUUUACUGAAAUUUGUUGGAAAAAGAAAUCUAUUAAGUGUGGUUUUAGGAAAAAUUAUACUUGUCAAUUUUAAAUUAUUAACUGAUUUUUAGUGAUUUUUUAAAUAGAUGGGGGUUUGCUUCCUAGGCAGCCCAAGUUGCCUUGCUUUGAAAACACUCAUCUCGAAUGUCAAAUCUCGGAUCACCAUGAAAUUUGGUAGAUAGAAGCAACUCUACGUCAAACUCAACCAAAAAAAAAUUUCAAGUGCAUAGAAGCUGUGUGGAAUUGUUAGCAAAGUUUUGAAUG
Molecule: long non-coding RNA, 400 nt
Filed under: Physcomitrium patens
Lineage: Eukaryota; Viridiplantae; Streptophyta; Bryopsida; Funariales; Funariaceae
Description: long non-coding RNA (PPAT_LNC012974)
Source: RNAcentral